This 704-nucleotide long non-coding RNA is filed under the name Eucalyptus grandis. RNAcentral's name for it is "long non-coding RNA (EGRA_LNC005266)". The record is from RNAcentral. Lineage: Eukaryota; Viridiplantae; Streptophyta; Magnoliopsida; Myrtales; Myrtaceae.
GCCUUCUUCCAUCUCUCUACAUCCUGCCAUAUCCCAUUUGCAGAGAGAGCUCCAAUUCCACCACCUCUGGUUCGGUUUCGUCUGGCUCGGACCACGAUAUCACAAGACUCGCGGAGAUGGCGGGCUGGGGACCGCCGCCGGGAGGGCCUCCCGGGCCGCCGGGGCCGUGCGGUUGCUUGUACUUUUGCUGCGACGGAAUCAGCCGGGGGAUAUCUUCAUGGUGAGUUCGCAUUUCUAACGCUUGCGCUGAGUUCUGAAAUUCUAGGAGCGUCAGUUAAGCACUGCCAACCCAACGUUGGAACACAAUUCGUUGCAUGACAUCACACAUAACAUGUUGCUUUCUUGCUGAGACUUCUGGGAUUAUACCAUCUGAGAGUUACUUUGUUUCGUAAGAUGAGGCCUUUUUUAACUUUUUCUUGCUUUCCGAAUCGUUCUAACAUAUUCUUGGCGCUGUUGCCAGUUUUUAUGUCCUCUGCUGCUGCUGUAUCUUCGAGAGCUGCUGCGGGCCGGUGUUUGGUGGCCGACCAGGGCCUCCAGGCCCUUUUGGUGGUCCACCGGGUCCCCCUGGUCCAUUUGGAGGGCCCCACGGCGGGCCUCCCGGGCCAUUCGGUGGUCCACCAGGCCCUCCCGGUGGACCUCCCCGCUUCUGAUCAGCCUGCAGUGUAAGUCUUGUACUCGACGGCCAGUGGACAGACAUGUACUAC